GACAGAGGGUGCAAGCGUUGUUCGGAAUUAUUGGGCGUAAAGGGCGCGUAGGCGGCUGAGCAAGUCGAAUGUGAAAUCCCUGGGCUUAACCCAGGAAGUGCAUUUGAUACUGCUCAACUUGAGUCCCGGAGAGGGUGGUGGAAUUCCCAGUGUAGAGGUGAAAUUCGUAGAUAUUGGGAGGAACACCGGUGGCGAAGGCGACCACCUGGACGGAGACUGACGCUGAGGCGCGAAAGCGUGGGGAGCAAACAGG
RNAcentral lists this ribosomal RNA (253 nucleotides) under uncultured bacterium. Its description in RNAcentral is "partial 16S ribosomal RNA". It matches the Rfam family "Bacterial small subunit ribosomal RNA", at positions 524 to 776 of the family's 1533-position model. The record is from RNAcentral.